This 459-nucleotide ribosomal RNA is filed under the name uncultured bacterium. RNAcentral describes it as "partial 16S ribosomal RNA". It matches the Rfam family "Bacterial small subunit ribosomal RNA", at positions 338 to 795 of the family's 1533-position model. The record is from RNAcentral.
CCUACGGGGGGCAGCAGUGAGGAAUAUUGGUCAAUGGCCGAGAGGCUGAACCAGCCAAGUCGCGUGAGGGAAGACGGCCCUACGGGUUGUAAACCUCUUUUGUCGGGGAGCAAAGCGAACCACGUGUGGCUCAUUGAGAGUACCCGAAGAAAAAGCAUCGGCUAACUCCGUGCCAGCAGCCGCGGUAAUACGGAGGAUGCGAGCGUUAUCCGGAUUUAUUGGGUUUAAAGGGUGCGCAGGCGGAGGUGCAAGUCAGCGGUAAAAUUGCGGGGCUCAACCCCGUACUGCCGUUGAAACUGCAUCCCUUGAGUGCGCGAGAGGUAUGCGGAAUGCGUGGUGUAGCGGUGAAAUGCAUAGAUAUCACGCAGAACUCCGAUUGCGAAGGCAGCAUACCGGCGCGCAACUGACGCUCAUGCACGAAAGCGUGGGUAUCGAACAGGAUUAGAUACCCUAGUAGUC